CGAAAGACACACCCCCGAAGAUUAGUAUAAAUAUUGUAGGCAAACUUAGUUUCGUCAGUGUUUGCUACUGACAAGCUAUCACAACAACUAUUCAAAAUGUUCAAACUUUUCGUCUUCUUGGCUGCCCUCUUGGCUUUCGCCUUGGCUUCUCCUAAACCUGUUCCACAGUACGUUCUUGGAGGUUUGGGAUAUGGUACCUAUGGAGCCUAUUCCCCUUACAGCUACGGAUUGGGCUACGGUUAUGGCGGAUACGUUUUUUAAAAAAUAAAUGUGAUUUGAUUUUAGUCAAAAGUUCGACCAUCUGACUCUUCUUUGUAAUUUGUUUUGGUUUGAAUAAAAUUUCUUAGGUUAAAAA
Molecule: long non-coding RNA, 355 nt
Organism: Zophobas morio
Lineage: Eukaryota; Metazoa; Arthropoda; Insecta; Coleoptera; Tenebrionidae
Exons: 2
Source: RefSeq, a predicted model, not a curated record